Molecule: ribosomal RNA, 446 nt
Filed under: uncultured bacterium
Lineage: Bacteria
Description: partial 16S ribosomal RNA
Rfam family: Bacterial small subunit ribosomal RNA
Source: RNAcentral
CCUACGGGUGGCAGCAGUCGAGAAUCAUUCACAAUGGGGGAAACCCUGAUGGUGCGACGCCGCGUGGGGGAAUGAAGGUCUUCGGAUUGUAAACCCCUGUCAUGUGGGAGCAAAUUAAAAAGAUAGUACCACAAGAGUAAGAGACGGCUAACUCUGUGCCAGCAGCCGCGGUAAUACAGAGGUCUCAAGCGUUGUUCGGAAUCACUGGGCGUAAAGCGUGCGUAGGCUGUUUCGUAAGUCGUGUGUGAAAGGCGCGGGCUCAACCCGCGGACGGCACAUGAUACUGCGAGACUAGAGUGAUGGAGGGGGAACCGGAAUUCUCGGUGUAGCAGUGAAAUGCGUAGAUAUCGAGAGGAACACUCGUGGCGAAGGCGGGUUCCUGGACAUUAACUGACGCUGAGGCACGAAGGCCAGGGGAGCGAAAGGGAUUAGAUACCCCAGUAGUC